CGGGUCUUCGCUUCGCGGACUCGUCUGCUUGUUGAGUCUCCGGUGCCUCACCCACAGCGCCGAAGCCUAGUUUCUAGUCUCGCCUACGCUCGGUGCCCCCGUUGAGCUUCCUCGUUCCUAAGACGUGCGCCCAGCACAGCUCAAACUAGACUCCGAGCCUAAGGUACCCUGCUGUGAAACUCUUCCUCUUUUCCCUUCUUAGUCACCUAACAUUCUGUGACGUUGGCCUCGAUGUCAUGACGUCUCCUUCACAAUGACCACGACGUCGGUGUAGGCGUCGAUGAUGUCUUCUUUAAUGUCUAUGGUGUCAACCUCGACGAUGGUGACUUUUUCUCAUUAACCUCGGCACCAGCCUCGACGUUAGUGACGUCCUUCUCAAUAACUACGACGCUAGCCUCAACGUCGAUGAUGUUGCUCUCAAUAACCUCGCUGCUAACCUCCACGUUGGUGUCAACCUUGAUGUCGGUGACGUUUUUCUCAAUAAUCUCGGUGUCAACCUCGACGUCGGCGCCAACCUCGAUGUCGAUGACUUCUUUUGCAGUAACCUCGGUGCUAACUCGACGUCGGUGUCAACCUCAACAUCGGUGACGGCUUUCUCAAUAACCUCGGUGUCGAGCUCGACGUCGUGUGACGUCUUUCUCAAUAACCUCGACGUCGGCAACGUCUUUCCCAAUAACCUCAGUGUCGACCUCGAUGUUGGUGUCUUGUCGUCGGCCCUUAGGGUCAAUCUCGACGUUGGCGUAGGCGUUUUUCUCAACAAUCUCACCUCAGCGCCGAUCUCGACCUCGAUGUCGGUGUCGACCUCGACGUCGAUGACGUCUUUCUCAAUGCCUUUAGUGCCAAUCUCCAUGCCGGUGUUCACUUCGACGAGGGCGUCAACCUCAGAUCGGCGUAGGCGUCUAUUUUAAUGAAGGCAAGGGCGUCUCAACGUCGGCGUAGGUGUCCACUUCGAUGAGGGCGCCUCGACGUCGACUUCUCGUCGUCUCUCUCGUCGAGGGUGCCUCUACGUCGGUGUCAAUUUCGACAAGGGUACCUCGAUGUCGGAGUCCAUUUCAACGAGGGCGCCUUGACGUUGGCGUCCAUUUUGACUAGGGCGCCUCGACGUCGGCUUCGACAAGGGUGCCUUGACGUCAGUGUCCAUUUCGACGAGGGCGCCUCAACUUUUGCUUGGCGUCGGCAUCCCUCUCGACGAGGGCGCCUCGACGUCGGCUUGGACAAGGGUGCCUCAACUUCGGUGUCCAUUUCGAUGAGGGGGCCUAGAUGUCAGCUUGGUGUCGGCGUCCCUCUCGACGAGGGCGACUAGACGUCAGAGUCCAUUUCGAUGAGGGCACCUCUACGUCGGCGUAGGUGUCCACUUCGACAAGGGCGCCUCCACGUCGGCUUCGACAAGAGUGCCUCGACUUCGGUGUCCAUUUCGACGAGGGCGCCUCGACGUCAGCUUGGCGUCGGCAUCCUUCUCAACGAGGGCGCCUCGACGUCAGCGUCCAUUUCGACGAAGGCCACUCGACGUCAGCUUCGACAAGGGUGCCUCGACGUCGGUGUCCUCGUAAUCUCCUCAGCAUCAAUCUUAACGUUAGCCUAGGUGAUGACGACGAC
Molecule: long non-coding RNA, 1596 nt
Filed under: Rosa chinensis
Lineage: Eukaryota; Viridiplantae; Streptophyta; Magnoliopsida; Rosales; Rosaceae
Description: sRNA RchiOBHm_Chr7g0226271
Source: RNAcentral